Molecule: ribosomal RNA, 421 nt
Filed under: uncultured bacterium
Lineage: Bacteria
Description: bacterial SSU rRNA
Rfam family: Bacterial small subunit ribosomal RNA
Source: RNAcentral
GGAAUAUUGCGCAAUGGCCGAAAGGCUGACGCAGCGACGCCGCGUGUGGGAGGAAGCCCUUCGGGGUGUAAACCACUGUCGGGAGGGAAGAAACUCGAGCGCUCGAAUAGGGCGAUCGAGUGACGGUCCCUCCAAAGGAAGCGCCGGCCAACUCCGUGACAGCAGCCGCUGUAAGGCGGAGGGCGCAAGCGUUGUUCGGAAUCACUGGGCGUAAAGCGCACGCAGGCGGUUUCUUAAGUCCUCUGUUAAAUCCCGGGGCUCAACCCCGGAGGUGCAGAAGAUACUGAGAGACUAGAGACCGGUAGAGGCUAGCGGAAUUCCUGGUGUAGCGGUGGAAUGCGUAGAUAUCAGGAGGAACACCGGUGGCGAAGGCGGCUAGCUGGGCCGGUUCUGACGCUCAUGUGCGAAAGCGUGGGGAGCA